This 855-nucleotide long non-coding RNA is filed under the name Patiria miniata (bat star). RNAcentral's name for it is "uncharacterized LOC119742418". Lineage: Eukaryota; Metazoa; Echinodermata; Asteroidea; Valvatida; Asterinidae. The record is from RNAcentral.
UCCCCGCCCAGGUUCCCUGAAGUCCAUCAAGAUGAUCCCUAAUAAGACAGCAGACGGUACAGGCAUCAACUCCGACACCCUGGCCUUACAGGUGAAGACCCAUCCUGAGCUGAGGGACUAGCUUCAUGUCGUCACCUCUUGGGGGCCUUUGCCUGUCUACCCUGGGGUGGUCAACUCAGAAUUACCUGAGGAAGUACGGUACCUGUCCUCACGGAGGCUACGGUCUCGGACUGGACGUUUCUUGACCUGGAUCCUAUACCGCAUGCAUAUCAGGGAUGUCUGCUUCUACCCACGCUUCAUAAAACGAUGCAUGCCAUAGAUGCGUCAACAUGUCGCCUUCAAUUCUUGAUUCUAAACAUUGCUUAAUAUUUAGUGUGGGAAAUCAAGAUUAAUAAGGGGUGGGGCUAGGUUGAUCAAGUGGGGGGGGGGGUUUGAUUGUAUGCCCUAAGACCAAAUUUCUAGAGAUAAUUAUGCCAUUGUAUUGUAAGGUAUUUCUUCAAGGUGCAGUUUUAAACUUUCUUCACAGUUCGCUCUUUUAGUUUCAAGUAGUUUUGGGUUUUUUUAACCAAAACUCAUAACAAAUUGCAAGGGUUCAACCUAACAUUUCUUAUGAAAUUUGGCCGAAACAGGACUUGCCUCCAAAUGACUCGGCAAUGCCCUACGAUGUAAGAUGAGUUUCAAUCAGUGUUCAAAAAUCCAUUUUUAUGAAGAUUUGAGCAAAAAUUACCGGUUUAUUGAUUGGAAAGAAGUUAUCUUUUGUGACCGCAAUUUCUCCCACAUUUUUGAUGUGAUUAUCUGUUGGAUGGAAUAUCUGACCAGAAAUCGUGUUGGAAUUGGGCCUCAAGUACUUUAGGC